This 253-nucleotide ribosomal RNA is filed under the name uncultured bacterium. RNAcentral describes it as "partial 16S ribosomal RNA". It matches the Rfam family "Bacterial small subunit ribosomal RNA", at positions 524 to 776 of the family's 1533-position model. The record is from RNAcentral.
UACGAAGGGGGCUAGCGUUGCUCGGAAUCACUGGGCGUAAAGGGCGCGUAGGCGGCUUUGCAAGUGACGGGUGAAAGCCCUCGGCUUAACCGAGGAACUGCCUGUCAGACUGUAAGGCUUGAGACCGGGAGAGGUGAGUGGAAUUCCCAGUGUAGCGGUGAAAUGCGUAGAUAUUGGGAGGAACACCAGUGGCGAAGGCGGCUCACUGGACCGGAACUGACGCUGAGGCGCGAAAGCGUGGGGAGCAAACAGG